Long non-coding RNA from Manis javanica (Malayan pangolin), 980 nucleotides. RefSeq lists it as uncharacterized. The record is from RefSeq and is a predicted model, not a curated record. NCBI's taxonomy places the organism in Eukaryota, Metazoa, Chordata, Mammalia, Pholidota, Manidae.
ACAGAAAAUGGGCACGCAACACACGCAGAUGCACACAGACCGACAGUGUUUGGUGUCUGACAGGCACUCAGGCCCAGCUUAGGGUCUAGGACUGAUCGCUGCUGCCCUGACCCCAGGAGAGCACCGGAGCCUACGUCAUAAGGAUACAGUGUGAAGUGGAUGCGCUUACUCUGAGAACAAGCAAUGAUUCAGGAAAGUCCUUAAAUGAAGGGAGCAUUCGCCUGGCCGGCCAAGCGGGAACAUCUUGCAGGCACGUGACAGCCUCUCUCCGCUGAGCUGCGAUGCGUAAAGGGGUUCACAGGCGCAGAGCCGCCUCUCACUGUGGAUCGUGGUGGGGAGUGGAUGCCCACUGUCCCCUCGCAGCUGUGUGCUAGGAGGCCCAGCCCGCGAGAGGAAAUGCCCGCUUCCCUCUCCCUCUGGCUCUGGGUCCCACUGGCCGCCCUGAGCCCGCCCCUCCCCGAGCCACAGGAGCUCCUCGGCUCUCUGCUCCCUUCCUUCCCCGCAGGAGGAGGGAGAAGGGGGGUCUGAGCCACCACAUCAGGCAGUGACAAUUAAACCCAUUCAGAGCUGAGUCAUUUGCAUGCAACUCCUCAACAGGCGCAGAACACUCAACCUGUCAUUUUCUCCUGGCAUUGCUGGUAACUGUGCCAUGCGGCUGUGGAGAUGGCAGCUUCCUUUCCUGGGCACUGCCAGGCAGGGAGAAGGUGACGGAUGAAGGGCCUGGAACCUUGCCUUUUGUCCUCCUAGCCUCUGCAGAGGCCAGGAGGCCGGAGCUAGAGGAGGAGGUGGAGUGGGGACAAGGCGAUAAGAGCCCAUGGACCCAGUUACGCUUGGACAGUGGGAGGGUCUCCGGAGGCAGCAGGGACGGCAGGAAUCAUCUGAGGGUAGUGCCCACCUCCUCAGCUGGAAUUUAUUGAACGAGAUUAUCUCUUGAUAAGUACCAAAAGCCACCAUUUCGCUGUGCACCCACAGAGCAGGCC